Betta splendens (Siamese fighting fish) is the source of this 505-nucleotide long non-coding RNA. RefSeq lists it as uncharacterized. Lineage: Eukaryota; Metazoa; Chordata; Actinopteri; Anabantiformes; Osphronemidae. The record is from RefSeq and is a predicted model, not a curated record. The transcript has 2 exons.
GUGAAGCUAGCUCCGCCAUCGGUCGUUAGCGUUUUGGACGUUUGUUUUAGGGUUCAUGGGGAAAAUGAGUCCCGCUCCUCGGCGCUGAUUGGCUGAAACUUCCUCGAAGCGCGUAAUUUAUCGGCUUCCUAUGGAUCUUCUGCCAUAAACCGCUGUCAUCUAAAUGGGGGACAUGGAAGCGCGCUGUGCUCCCUGCUGGCUGUCAUCAUCAGCAGCAGCCGCCGCCGCAGCAGCAGCAGCGGCAGCAGCAUCCUUUCCUCUCCAGGAGACGUGAGAGGAGGAAACGCGCAUCUCACGACCUGAAUUCACGCACGGGCGCGUCGCCAUCUACAGGACAAUCUUUAAACGGGAAGUUUUCACGGAAAAGGCUUGAGUUUUAUCAAAAGCUAUGUCAUGGUGUGAAACAGACGCUUCACACACACCGUCCUCACCGAGUAGAAUGUAGGCGCAACUCCGCUAACCUGCAUGUACUUGUGAAUGAAUAAAGAACGCAGUGUAGAUAACA